Molecule: long non-coding RNA, 1314 nt
Filed under: Sus scrofa (pig)
Lineage: Eukaryota; Metazoa; Chordata; Mammalia; Artiodactyla; Suidae
Description: lncRNA (ENSSSCG00005004487.1, ENSSSCG00030056732.1)
Source: RNAcentral
AUCCUUUUACAUAUUAAGUAAGAUGAUAUCAUUCAAGUCCCAAGUCUUCCCAUAGCUUCUGUUCCAUUCAAUGUAAAAGCCAUAAUCUUUAGAAUAGCCCCUAAGGUUGUGAGUAAUUUGGCACUUCUGUGACCGUAUUUUCUAUUACUUUCUCCCUUGGUCACUCAGCUUCAGCCACGCUGAUAUAGAACUCUUUCUAGAACACACCAGACUCUCUCCCACCUCUUAACCUUUGCAGUGGGUGCUUUCUCUGCCUAGACUCAGAUCUGUCUGUAUCAGAUUCCCUUACCUCUUUUAGGUCUCAGUUAGUCAGCUUCCUGAUAACUCCAAUGACAAAUUAAAACUACACGCUCUUGGAGUUCCCGUUGUGGCUCAAUGGUUAAUGAAUGUGACUAGCAUCCAUGAGGAUGUGGGGUUCAAUUCCUGGCCUCUCUUGCUCAGUGGGUUAAGGAUCUGGCAUAGCCAUGAGCCGUGGCAUAGGUCGCAGACUCGGCUCAGAUCCCGUGUUGUUAUGUCUGUGGUGUAGGCCGGCGGCUACAGCUCUGAUUCAUCCCCUAGCCUGGGAACCUCCAUAUGCCGAGGGUGCAGCCCUAAAAAGACAAAAAGGCAAAAACAAACAAACAAACAAACAAACAAACAAAUCCUGCAAGCUCUUCAUCAACCUCUCCUGCCAUUUUUGCCUACCAUCUAUCUCCCAUCUCUCUUUGUCCUCCAGCUAGACUGUGCUCUGGGGAAGCAGGGAUUUGGGUCACCACUGUGUUGCCAGGGUCUAGAACAUUGCUGUUGAUGCACAGAAGGACUUGUUGACUGAACACCGACAUUGAAUGAAUGAAUAUUGUGUGCUAAUUCACAUUAGCAUACUCGUGAUUUGGCUUCUGAUCUAGUUACCAAACUUUUGUGAUACAAACAAACAGAAUUCUGGAUUUUAACAGUAGUGUUUUGUUGAUUAACUGAUUACAGGUCUUUUAGGUAAGAUAAUUUAUUCCAGUGUGCUACUAAAGAUCAUCUGAAAGCAUCAAAAUGGUCCUUCAGGCUUUCCUGCAUUACUGCCAAUUAUUACAAUAUUGUUCUUCCCCCACCCCGAUUCUGGGGAAUAUGAUAUUAAAUUAGUUGAAAUUCCCUACUGAGAAAUGACUACAGGGUAGAGGAAAAUUUCAAAAAGUACAAGGAAACAAAAUCAUAAACGAUACAACAUUUAGGACGUUAUCCAUCUGAAGAGUGAGAUUAUGAGUGACUUUCAUUUUUUUAUGUCUGUACUUUAAACAUUUUACACAAUGUAUCAGUGUUUCAAAGGAUUAUAAAACUAAACUUAUU